Molecule: unclassified non-coding RNA, 211 nt
Filed under: uncultured fungus
Lineage: Eukaryota; Fungi
Description: partial contains 18S rRNA, ITS1, 5.8S rRNA, ITS2 and 28S rRNA
Source: RNAcentral
AAGGAUCAUUAAUGAUUGUGAAUCGUCGCCUUCAGUGCUGGCCGGCUUCGGCAAGUGCACGUCGGUGACUUUCAUCCAAUACCCUGUGCACCUUUGGCCUCUUGCUAGCUUCGGCCGGCAGAGGAUUUUUACACACACUCGAAUGUAAUGAAAUUUAUUGUCGUGCGCAAGCACUAAUGUACAACUUUCAACAACGGAUCUCUUGGCUCUC